CCGGUGCCCCUGAGGUCCCGUCCCAUCCGGUGCGGCGGGCAGGAUGCACCAGAAGCUGCUGCGGAGCGCGCACUACAUCGAGCUGGGGAGCUACCAGUAUUGGCCGGUGCUGGUGCCCCGUGGCAUACGCCUCUACACCUACGAGCAGAUCCCCGUCUUCCUGAAGGACAACCCCUACAUCACCGACGGCUACCGGGCCUACCUACCCUCCCGCCUCUGCCUCAAGAGUCUCUUCAUCCUCUCCAACGAGACCGUCAACAUCUGGAGCCACCUGCUCGGCUUUGUCCUUUUCUUCACGCUGGGAAUCUACGACCUCACGGCUGUGCUGCCGGCCGCUGGAGCCUCCCGGGAGGAUUUCGUCAUCUGCUCUGUCUGCCUCUUCUGCUUCCAGGUGUGCAUGCUCUGCUCAGUAGGAUAUCAUCUUUUCUGUUGUCACCGCUCAGAGAAGACCAGCCGGCGAUGGAUGGCAUUAGAUUAUGCAGGAAUUUCCGUCGGGAUCCUGGGCUGUUAUGUAUCAGGCGUCUUUUAUGCAUUUUACUGUAGUAAUUACUGGCGUCAGGUAUAUUUAAUCACUGUGCUGGCAAUGGUCUUGGCAGUGUUUUUUGCUCAGAUUCAUCCCAGUUACCUCACACAACAGUGGCACAGACUUCGCUCCAUCAUCUUCUGCUCUGUGUCUGGAUAUGGAAUCAUUCCCACCAUCCACUGGGUUUGGCUCAACGGCGGCAUUGGUGCAUCUGUUGUACAGGAGUUUGCUCCGCGUGUAGUUGUCAUGUACUUCAUCGCUGCUGUAGCUUUUCUCUUCUAUAUUUCCAAAGUUCCAGAAAGAUACUUCCCAGGCCAGCUGAACUACCUCGGCUCAAGUCACCAAGUGUGGCAUAUCCUUGCGGUGGUGAUGCUGUACUGGUGGCAUCAGUCCACAGUGUACAUCAUGCAAUACCGACACAGCCAGCCCUGUCCUGAGUAUAGCCCAGGCUUGUGAGUGAAGAUGAAAUUUCUGACUUUGAGGUCUGCACCUUACCUGCUGAGCUGUUACGAGGUGAAGCACUGAGGCAGUUCCUUUUCUGACUUCUGGACUGCUGCCUGGUUGCUGUUGGGUUAUGGUGACGCUUGAAAAAACGAACAGCGUGGCCUGGGAUCUGAGCUGCAUUUCCUUCCUGUUCUGCAUUCCAGUAUAAAAUAGGUCUUCCUGGAGUGUGACAAUGGAAAGAUGGGCUCCAAGCAAGUUCUAAGUGCACUAAUUACUACUGCUGAAGCCUGAGGAGGAACCGGCAAGUAGAAAAACCAAUUUCCAAUGUCAUGUGAAAAAAAAAUAAAUUUUAAGAACGUGUUUGUGUAUUGAGAGCAUACUGACUUGAUAGUUCUAAGGUAUUUUUAUGUCAACUCUUACCUACUGUAGCAGUUUUCACUGGAUCAGGAAACUGACUGCCAAGAUAUACAUUUUUAUUACCCUGAACUUUAUCAAGUUGCAUGAUGGUCUUCUAUGUAUGUACUGAACCUGUAAAUAAAUUCCACUUCAUUGGCCA
This is an RNA transcript of Pezoporus flaviventris, 1523 nucleotides long. It is a transcript of the gene named progestin and adipoQ receptor family member 3, with no coding region annotated. The transcript has 9 exons. Lineage: Eukaryota; Metazoa; Chordata; Aves; Psittaciformes; Psittacidae. The record is from RefSeq and is a predicted model, not a curated record.